GACGAACGCUGGCGGCGUGCUUAACACAUGCCAGUCGAACGGAAAGGCCCUGCUUUUGUGGGGUGCUCGAGUGGCGAACGGGUGAGUAACACGUGAGUAACCUGCCCUUGACUUUGGGAUAACUUCAGGAAACUGGGGCUAAUACCGGAUAGGAGCUCCUGCUGCAUGGUGGGGGUUGGAAAGUUUCGGCGGUUGGGGAUGGACUCGCGGCUUAUCAGCUUGUUGGUGGGGUAGGGGCUUACCAAGGCUUUGACGGGUAGCCGGCCUGAGAGGGUGACCGGCCACAUUGAGACUGAGAUAAGGCCCAGACUCCUACGGGAGGCAGCGGUGGAGAAUAUUGCACAAUGGGCGGAAGCCUGAUGCAGCAACGCCGCGUGCGGGAUGACGGCCUUCGGGUUGUAAACCGCUUUCGCCUGUGACGAAGCGUGAGUGACGGUAAUGGGUAAAGAAGCACCGGCUAACUACGUG
RNAcentral lists this ribosomal RNA (468 nucleotides) under uncultured bacterium. RNAcentral's name for it is "partial 16S ribosomal RNA". It matches the Rfam family "Bacterial small subunit ribosomal RNA", at positions 28 to 507 of the family's 1533-position model. The record is from RNAcentral.